Setaria italica (foxtail millet) is the source of this 2346-nucleotide RNA transcript. RefSeq lists it as uncharacterized. NCBI's taxonomy places the organism in Eukaryota, Viridiplantae, Streptophyta, Magnoliopsida, Poales, Poaceae. The transcript has 13 exons. The record is from RefSeq and is a predicted model, not a curated record.
UGCGAUCUGCCAUCGCUCGCCCCGUCCGCCUCGUUUUGGAAAGCGGAUGAAGCUAGGCAGCUCGCCUAGUCUCCUGUAGUAAACACCUGCCCGCUCCUCAACUACCCUUCCUUCCUGUGCUGGCCGCCAGUAACCACCUCACAGCAAGGCAGCGCGGCGCGGAGGAGAUGGGCUCCCCGUCCUACCGGCUCGCGGCGGCGAUCACGGUCCCCUCGACCGGCGAGUUCCUCGUCGUCCGGCAGCCGCGCCCGCCGUCCCCGCCCGCGGAGGACGAGGACUACCGGCGCUUCGUCGACAGCGACCUCUACGACCUCCCGUCCGCGCCUCUCAAGCCCCUCGCGGGGGAGCCCCGGUCGGAGGUGGCCGUCUCCGGCGCGGAUUCCGUCACCCGCCUCGACCUCUCACGCCUCGACGUGUCCGCCGCCCUCGAUCAGAUUUUUUAUCAAUUUGGCUUGCCGGAUGGAAUGCGUGGGGAGUGGCGGCUCCUGAAGUACGUGGAGGAAGCAGAGUUUGGCCCAGAUGCUGGAGUUAACACCGUGUUCAUCAUCGGGUCACUGGAGUCAAAAUUGGAUGCUCUACAAGAGUCGUGUAAAUGGAUGACCAAGGAUUGUGCAUUGGGGCUGCUUUCUGAAGUGAAGCCUGGUAGUGAUCGCAUAGGGUCGAAUGCAUAUAUUGGACUUCUGAAUUCGGAGCUGCCAUCAAACAGCACGGCUGUCCCUGCUUUGCCCUCCCAGGAGUACCCACCUGGAAUAAUUCUUGUACCAAUGAAGAGCAAGACAUUACAUCCAUUCCGCACAACUAAUCUUGUGGUAAUACGAGCAACCAAUGGUGCUGGUGGAUCUACAUGUUCUGAUUUUUUUGCUUGUGGGGAUGCUCUACUUUUAGAUCCUGGAUGCAGCUCUCAGGUUCAUGCGGAGCUUGCAGAUCUUGUCAAUUCCCUUCCAAAAAAGUUGUUAGUCCUCGUCACACAUCAUCAUCAUGAUCACAUUGAGGGUCUUUCUGUUGUUCAGAGAUGCAAUCCUGAUGCUGUUCUUCUGACACACCAAAACACAAUGAAUCGUAUCGGGAAAGGGAAUUGGCAGAUUGAGUACACUUCAGUAACUGGUGGUGAAAAGAUAUGCAUAGGUGACCAAGAACUACAAGUUGUUUUUGCUCCUGGUCACACAGAUGGUCAUAUGGGGCUUCUCCAUGUUAAUACCAACACAUUAAUUGUUGGAGAUCAUUGCGUAGGACAUGGAAGUGCAACAUUGGACAGUAGAAGUGGUGGCAACAUGAAGGACUACUUUGAAACAACAUACAAAUUCUUAGACCUAUCACCACAUGUCUUAAUUCCUAUGCAUGGAAGGAUAAACCUUUGGCCCAAGCAUAUGCUCUGUGGAUACCUCAGGAAUCGAAGGUCUAGAGAAGCCUCCAUUCUGCAAUCCAUAGAGAAUGGGGGCCGAACUCUGUUUGAAAUAGUUUCAAAGACUUACAGUGAUGUAGACAGGAAGUUGUGGAUUCCUGCUUCUUUCAAUGUUCGCCUUCAUGUUGAUCAUCUAAACUCCCAAAAUAAACUACCCAAGGAUUUCUCCUUGGAAAUGUUCAGUCGGAGUUGUGAUGAUUUUUUCUCUAGCCUUUGAUGGCCAUGUACGAAAAAAGGAAAUUCAAGUUCUCAAAAUUUGAGUUUUCAUUCCAUUUCGGCUGCUCUGUUUGCCAUCUUUAGCACUAUGUGCAUGAAACUGAAUAACGCAAUCAUGGGAAAUCAAUUCUUGUAAUCCGUUAUGACUUCUCAUUGGAGAAUUUUAAGGCGAGCUGUGGAGCGCAUUUCAUAUUCCGUUGGGCGGUGGCGUAUGUGCAAUCCAGGAGCUCCCCAGCUAUCCUUGCGGUUGCAGCAAGUGCCCUUGCUGGUGGUCUGGCAAUUGCUUGUGCUCUCAGAAGGAACAAUGGCAAGUAAUUAUAGACUCUGUUGGUCGGUAAUUCCAGCUACGAGCACAUUAUAUUUUUAUGAAGAUUCUGCUACCACUAUGCUGAGUCGAAUGCUUAGUUGCCAAAACUUUUGUUCUACGAUUGUGUGGGUGAACUUUGCCACUUCUAUACACAAGGAAAGCGCUCAGGCUAGGGCUUGUAAAGUGUGGGAUUAGGAUAUUAAUUCUUAGGGUUUUGAUCGAGUUUGAACUGAGUCCUAGAAUUCCCUGAAGCAGUUGCAUGUUGCCUCGGGUAAGUAGGGUGCAAGUAGGCCUGCGACGUCUUAGUGGCCACAUAGUUCUUAGGCCAGUCUCAUUGCAGUUACCAAGACUAAGAACUAUAUAAUUGUGCCAGCUGAGUGUCAUGACGAUGAAACUUAUCUGAUGAAACUCCUCUUAAUUA